Molecule: non-coding RNA, 22 nt
Filed under: Rattus norvegicus (Norway rat)
Lineage: Eukaryota; Metazoa; Chordata; Mammalia; Rodentia; Muridae
Source: RNAcentral
UGAUGUAUCCUCAAAUUUUCAA